AGAGUUUGAUCUUGGCUCAGGACUGAACGCUGGCGGCGUUGCUUAACACGUGCAAGUCGAACGAAUCCUUUCUUCGGAUGGGGUUAGUGGCAGACGGGUGCGUAACACGUAGGUGACCUGCCCUAGAGUGGGGAAUAACUAUCCUAACGGAUAGCUAAUACCGCAUAUGCUCGGUGGUUCGUUCUGCCGAGUAAAGCUCGCAAGGGCGCUUUAGGAUGGGCCUGCGGCGGAUUAGCUAGUUGGUGGGGUAAUGGCCUACCAAGGCGAUGAUCCGUAGGGGGCGUGAGAGCGUGGCCCCCCACACUGGCACUGAGAUACGGGCCAGACUCCUACGGGAGGCAGCAGUCAGGAAUAUUGCACAAUGGGCGAAAGCCUGAUGCAGCAACGCCGCGUGAGGGACGAAGGCCUUCGGGUUGUAAACCUCUUUUCUGAGAGACGAGACAAGGACGGUACCUCAGGAAUAAGUCUCGGCUAACUACGUGCCAGCAGCCGCGGUAAGACGUAGGAGGCGAGCGUUAUCCGGAUUUACUGGGCGUAAAGCGCACGCAGGCGGCUUCGUUAGUCGGAUGUGAAAGCUCCUGGCUUAACCGGGAGAGGCCAUUCGAUACUGCGAGGCUUGAGGUUGGGAGAGGGGUGUGGAAUUCCCGGUGUAGUGGUGGAAUGCGUAGAUAUCGGGAGGAACACCUGUGGCGAAAGCGGCACCCUGGCCCACACCUGACGCUGAGGUGCGAAAGCGUGGGUAGCAAACAGGAUUAGAUACCCUGGUAGUCCACGCCGUAAACGAUGUCAACUGGGUGUCGGUGGUUUUACACUAUCGGUGCCGAAGCAAACGCGUUAAGUUGACCGCCUGGGGACUACGGCCGCAAGGCUAAAACUCAAAGGAAUUGACGG
RNAcentral lists this ribosomal RNA (891 nucleotides) under uncultured bacterium. RNAcentral describes it as "bacterial SSU rRNA". It matches the Rfam family "Bacterial small subunit ribosomal RNA", at positions 8 to 916 of the family's 1533-position model. The record is from RNAcentral.